UUUUGUGGUAUUUCUGGAUCCUUUCCAAGGCAGUACUGGUAUAUACCUUCUCUCAAAGUAUGUGGUAUUUUUGGUAUGAGGCAUAGUGAUAUUGCCUUCCCUCUCACCCUACUCUAAUAAGGUUUUGAUAUCUGGAGCUCAUAGGCGGGAGACAGCUAAUACAUACUUACAAGACAUUUAUUGCAUAGUCAAACCAUAGAUCUAGAAGAACAAGUCAAUAAGUCAAAUCAAGAUGUGCAUGUGUGGCGAGUGAAUGGUGUAUGGUGAUGAUGGUGAUAACAAUGGUGAAAGUCUAAUUCUACUUUUUGCUCUUUUGAGGGGAUAUAUUCCUUUCUUGCACUUUAAAGCUUUUUGAGGGGAAUGAGAUGCACUAUAUUUUCUUUUUCUUUUUCUCUCAGGUGGGUAUCUUUGUACCCCUAGCUCCGAAAUAUCUGGAGCAUUUAUUUCACAGGGAAUAACAGGGAUAGGAAAAUAUUUUUGGCUAUUCUCUCCCAGAUAGGAGUAGAAUAAUUUUCGGUGAAUCUGGAGAUGGAAUUGAGUGGAUGUAUGUGG
This 552-nucleotide long non-coding RNA is filed under the name Sorghum bicolor (sorghum). RNAcentral describes it as "long non-coding RNA (SBIC_LNC017177)". The record is from RNAcentral. Lineage: Eukaryota; Viridiplantae; Streptophyta; Magnoliopsida; Poales; Poaceae.